GGGGUUUUAGCUCAGUUGGUAGAGCGCCUGUUUUGCACACAGGAGGUCAGCGGUUCGAAUCCGCUAAGCUCCACCA
This 76-nucleotide transfer RNA is filed under the name Candidatus Phytoplasma australasiaticum subsp. ipomoeae. Its description in RNAcentral is "tRNA-Ala". It matches the Rfam family "tRNA". Rfam says of the family: Transfer RNA (tRNA) molecules are approximately 80 nucleotides in length. Their secondary structure includes four short double-helical elements and three loops (D, anti-codon, and T loops). RNAcentral also lists the same sequence under 13 other names. Lineage: Bacteria; Bacillati; Mycoplasmatota; Mollicutes; Acholeplasmatales; Acholeplasmataceae. The record is from RNAcentral.